Molecule: long non-coding RNA, 1680 nt
Organism: Ruditapes philippinarum (Manila clam)
Lineage: Eukaryota; Metazoa; Mollusca; Bivalvia; Venerida; Veneridae
Exons: 3
Source: RefSeq, a predicted model, not a curated record
AUUGUUUAUACAUUUAUAGUUGUCACUUGGAAAACUUCUAUCGUAUACAUUAAUUUUUUCGAUACUAUUUACAGUGAAGUCGAAGGGGGGUUUAAAUUGGAAAUAGAUUUCCGCAUAAAUCUACUUUAUAAUGAUAAUAAUUUAUAUGUACAGAGACCAAAAAUGAUAUGUAAUGAACCACAUACUUUUUCUAUAUUACUAAUAUGUGUGAAAUUACGUUCAUUUUCAAUUAUCAAACUGUUAUUUAUCGUAUAUUUAUAUAUACAUGUACGAUGGCCCAAAAAGCUAUGGAAUAAAACACAUACUUUUUAAUUUUCUAUUACUAGUAUGUGUGAAACUUUCAUUUUCUAUAAUCAAAUAUUUUUUCUUCAAAUUAAAGAUAGCUAUAAAGCUUGUAAUAAAGGCGACACAAGAAGAUAAAAAGAAAAAUUAUAAUGAAGCCUUAAAGCUGUACGAUCAUGGAGUAGAGUAUUUCCUUCAUUCAAUCAAACAUGAAGCACAGAGUGAUAAAGCAAAAGAGAGUAUAAGAGCAAAGUGUAUCCAAUACCUAGAGAGAGCUGAAAAGCUGGGAAAAUACUUAGAGAACAAACUUUCUACAACUACAGAUAGAUGCAUUAAGAUCAACAAAAAUAUAUAAUAAGGCUGAAAUCGAGAAAUUCCAAGAAGAAACAAAGAAAUUAAAAGAGGAGGUGAACUUAUUAAAAGAUGAAAGAGACUUGUUCAAGGUUCAAAGUGACUAUUACCAGUUAAAACUUAAGAAGUUGACAGUUGAAAUAGGUGAAAAGCGAUAAUUUUAAUUUCAUAUACAUGUGAUACUCAGAAAGCAUUGGUUUCAUGUCCGAUCAUGUGUCUGCGUUGUGUCCAUCACACGUUUAAAAAUGAUCCUGGACACACUAAAUUAUUCACGGCUACGUGCGGUAUUUUUCUGUCUGACCCAUGUUUUUACAUAAUUUGGAGUUCUUGCUUUUUUUAAUUAUUCACACUCUGGCUCAUUUUGUUCAACGGCAGAAUUCAAAAGUAUUAAGGGAUCAAUUUGAUACAACAUAGAUGGACAGAUCUCAUUUAGGAAAAGUGCAGUCACUAAGAACAAUAAAUCCCUUUUGCAUUAUUUUGGAGUUAAAUCCUCAGAAAUUUCCCAUAAUCAAUUGCCUCUGUUAUUUUCCAAAAUCAGUUAUUUCCCGAGGGCAAAGUGAAAAAGUGUAAAUAAGCAUCAACUUCACAUUAUUUUUUUGUCCGGAGCAUAACUGAAAAAAUUGUUCGAGAUAAAACAUUAAAACUUCUUAGAUUGAUAAUUACCUUAAAGUUAAAAUCAAUUACUAUACUUUGUAUUUAAUGCCCCCAGUACUUGUCAAUGCAAAAUGUUUUCCCACAGCAACUCUGAAUGGAGAAAUUUAGUGCCCAAGAUCUAUAACCCUGUUUUGCCUAGUUCUGGAGUCAUUGUCUUUUUUUUAUAGUUUUGCUUUUUACUUCUUUAUCUCAAGUUUGUGUAAGAAGACAACUAAGUAUAUUCAACAGAUCAUAUGAUCAUUGCUUUCUAAAAUAUCUUGCAGUUUUCAUAAUAAUUCUCUAAAAUAGUUUAUAAUGAAAUGAAUUCCAUUCAUUGUGGAAUCAAAAAUUGCACACAUAUCUUCAUUCAAGCAUUUUCUUUGUGAUUUAACAAUAUUUGAGCCGUGUCAUGAC